Molecule: ribosomal RNA, 442 nt
Filed under: uncultured bacterium
Lineage: Bacteria
Description: partial 16S ribosomal RNA
Rfam family: Bacterial small subunit ribosomal RNA
Source: RNAcentral
CCUACGGGUGGCAGCAGUGGGGAAUAUUGGGCAAUGGGCGCAAGCCUGACCCAGCAACGCCGCGUGAAGGAAGAAGGCUUUCGGGUUGUAAACUUCUUUUGACAGGGAAGAGCAGAAGACGGUACCUGUCGAAUAAGCCACGGCUAACUACGGGCCAGCAGACGCGGUAAUACGUAGGGGGCAAGCGUUGUCCGGAUUGACUGGGUGUAAAGGGCGUGUAGCCGGGAUGACAAGUCAGGUGUGAAAUCCGGGGGCUAAACCCCCGGACUGCUUUUGAAACUGUUGGUCUUGAGUAUCGGAGAGGCAGGCGGAAUUCCUAGGGUAGCGGUGAAAUGCGUAGAUAUUAGGAGGAACACCAGUGGCGAAGGCGGCCUGCUGGACGAAAACUGACGGUGAGGCGCGAAAGCGUGGGGAGCAAACAGGAUUAGAUACCCCGGUAGUC